UUGACCUCAAAUCAGGUAGGACUACCCGCUGAACUUUAGCAUAUC
This 45-nucleotide ribosomal RNA is filed under the name Termitomyces sp. Its description in RNAcentral is "partial 28S ribosomal RNA". Lineage: Eukaryota; Fungi; Basidiomycota; Agaricomycetes; Agaricales; Lyophyllaceae. The record is from RNAcentral.